UACGAAGGGGGCUAGCGUUGCUCGGAAUCACUGGGCGUAAAGGGUGCGUAGGCGGGCUCUUAAGUCAGAGGUGAAAGCCUGGAGCUCAACUCCAGAACUGCCUUCGAUACUGGCGAUCUCGAGUCCGGAAGAGGUGAGUGGAACUCCUAGUGUAGAGGUGGAAUUCGUAGAUAUUAGGAAGAACACCAGUGGCGAAGGCGGAUCACUGGUCCGGUACUGACGCUGAGGUGCGAAAGCGUGGGGAUCAAACAGG
RNAcentral lists this ribosomal RNA (253 nucleotides) under uncultured bacterium. Its description in RNAcentral is "partial 16S ribosomal RNA". It matches the Rfam family "Bacterial small subunit ribosomal RNA", at positions 524 to 776 of the family's 1533-position model. The record is from RNAcentral.